CAGUAGCCGCGGUAAUACGUAGGGUGCGAGCGUUAAUCGGAAUUACUGGGCGUAAAGCGUGCGCAGGCGGUUCGUUAAGACAGAUGUGAAAUCCCCAAGCUUAACCUGGGAACUGCAUUUGUGACUGACGGGCUAGAGUAUGGCAGAGGGGGGUAGAAUUCCACGUGUAGCAGUGAAAUGCGUAGAGAUGUGGAGGAAUACCGAUGGCGAAGGCAGCCCCCUGGGCCAAUACUGACGCUCAUGCACGAAAGCGUGGGGAGCAAACAGGAUUAGAUACCCGCGUAGUCCCUGUCUCUUAUAC
Molecule: ribosomal RNA, 301 nt
Filed under: uncultured bacterium
Lineage: Bacteria
Description: partial 16S ribosomal RNA
Rfam family: Bacterial small subunit ribosomal RNA
Source: RNAcentral